This 222-nucleotide long non-coding RNA is filed under the name Elaeis guineensis (African oil palm). Its description in RNAcentral is "long non-coding RNA (EGUI_LNC075974)". The record is from RNAcentral. Lineage: Eukaryota; Viridiplantae; Streptophyta; Magnoliopsida; Arecales; Arecaceae.
ACGGCCUCCAUGGCCAGAUCUCAGCAAGAUCCACCAGUUUCGGCCUCAUCUUUAGUUUUCCAGGCUUUUCCUCCUUCGACAAUGACAGUCAACAUGGAGCAGUUUGACCUACUGGUUCAGCAGGUCAGAGGCCUCACCGAAGCGAUGCAGGCCAUGCAGCAGUAGUAGCAGCAGCCACAGGCAUCUGCGUGGCUAGUCGCCUUGUAUCCCUCAGAAAGGGGA